This 466-nucleotide ribosomal RNA is filed under the name uncultured bacterium. RNAcentral describes it as "bacterial SSU rRNA". It matches the Rfam family "Bacterial small subunit ribosomal RNA", at positions 329 to 793 of the family's 1533-position model. The record is from RNAcentral.
GGCCAGACUCCUACGGGAGGCAGCAGUGAGGAAUAUUGGUCAAUGGUCGGGAGACUGAACCAGCCAAGCCGCGUGAAGGAAGAAGGCGCCAAGCGUCGUAAACUUCUUUUGUCGGGGAACAAAGGCGCCCACGGGUGGGCGGAUGAGUGUACCCGAAGAAAAAGCAUCGGCUAACUCCGUGCCAGCAGCCGCGGUAAUACGGAGGAUGCGAGCGUUAUCCGGAUUUAUUGGGUUUAAAGGGUGCGUAGGCGGACAGUCAAGUCAGCGGUAAAAAUGCGGUGCUCAACGCCGUACAGCCGUUGAAACUGGCAGUCUUGAGUGGGCGAGAAGUAUGCGGAAUGCGUGGUGUAGCGGUGAAAUGCAUAGAUAUCACGCAGAACUCCGAUUGCGAAGGCAGCAUACCGGCGCCCGACUGACGCUGAGGCACGAAAGCGUGGGUAUCGAACAGGAUUAGAUACCCGAGUAC